RNAcentral lists this ribosomal RNA (253 nucleotides) under uncultured bacterium. RNAcentral describes it as "partial 16S ribosomal RNA". It matches the Rfam family "Bacterial small subunit ribosomal RNA", at positions 524 to 776 of the family's 1533-position model. The record is from RNAcentral.
UACGGAGGUGGCAAGCGUUGUUCGGAAUUACUGGGCGUAAAGGGCGCGUAGGCGGCCGCCUAAGUCAGACGUGAAAUCCUUCGGCUCAACCGGGGAACUGCGUCUGAUACUGGGCGGCUUGAAUUCGGGAGAGGAAUGCGGAAUUCCAGGUGUAGCGGUGAAAUGCGUAGAUAUCUGGAGGAACACCGGUGGCGAAGGCGGCAUUCUGGACCGACAUUGACGCUGAGGCGCGAAAGCCAGGGGAGCAAACGGG